GAUGAACGCUAGCUACAGGCUUAACACAUGCAAGUCGAGGGGCAUCAGGAAGAAAGCUUGCUUUCUUUGCUGGCGACCGGCGCACGGGUGAGUAACACGUAUCCAACCUGCCCUUUACUCGGGGAUAGCCUUUCGAAAGAAAGAUUAAUACCCGAUAGCAUAAUGAUUCCGCAUGGUUUCAUUAUUAAAGGAUUCCGGUAAAGGAUGGGGAUGCGUUCCAUUAGGUUGUUGGUGAGGUAACGGCCCACCAAGCCUUCGAUGGAUAGGGGUUCUGAGAGGAAGGUCCCCCACAUUGGAACUGAGACACGGUCCAAACUCCUACGGGAGGCAGCAGUGAGGAAUAUUGGUCAAUGGGCGCUAGCCUGAACCAGCCAAGUAGCGUGAAGGAUGAAGGCUCUAUGGGUCGUAAACUUCUUUUAUAUAAGAAUAAAGUGCAGUAUGUAUACUGUUUUGUAUGUAUUAUAUGAAUAAGGAUCGGCUAACUCCGUGCCAGCAGCCGCGGUAAUACGGAGGAUCCGAGCGUUAUCCGGAUUUAUUGGGUCUAAAGGGAGCGUAGGUGGACUGGUAAGUCAGUUGUGAAAGUUUGCGGCUCAACCGUAAAAUUGCAGUUGAUACUGUCAGUCUUGAGUACAGUAGAGGUGGGCGGAAUUCGUGGUGUAGCGGUGAAAUGCUUAGAUAUCACGAAGAACUCCGAUUGCGAAGGCAGCUCACUGGACUGCAACUGACACUGAUGCUCGAAAGUGUGGGUAUCAAACAGGAUUAGAUACCCUGGUAGUCCACACAGUAAACGAUGAAUACUCGCUGUUUGCGAUAUACAGUAAGCGGCCAAGCGAAAGCAUUAAGUAUUCCACCUGGGGAGUACGCCGGCAACGGUGAAACUCAAAGGAAUUGACGGGGGCCCGCACAAGCGGAGGAACAUGUGGUUUAAUUCGAUGAUACGCGAGGAACCUUACCCGGGCUUAAAUUGCAGUGGAAUGAUGUGGAAACAUGUCAGUGAGCAAUCACCGCUGUGAAGGUGCUGCAUGGUUGUCGUCAGCUCGUGCCGUGAGGUGUCGGCUUAAGUGCCAUAACGAGCGCAACCCUUAUCUUUAGUUACUAACAGGUUAUGCUGAGGACUCUAGAGAGACUGCCGUCGUAAGAUGUGAGGAAGGUGGGGAUGACGUCAAAUCGGCACGGCCCUUACGUCCGGGGCUACACACGUGUUACAAUGGGGGGUACAGAAGGCAGCUAGCGGGUGACCGUAUGCUAAUCCCAAAAUCCUCUCUCAGUUCGGAUCGAAGUCUGCAACCCGACUUCGUGAAGCUGGAUUCGCUAGUAAUCGCGCAUCAGCCACGGCGCGGUGAAUACGUUCCCGGGCCUUGUACACACCGCCCGUCAAGCCAUGGGAGCCGGGGGUACCUGAAGUACGUAACCGCAAGGAUCGUCCUAGGGUAAAACUGGUGACUGGGGC
RNAcentral lists this ribosomal RNA (1450 nucleotides) under uncultured organism. RNAcentral's name for it is "16S ribosomal RNA". It matches the Rfam family "Bacterial small subunit ribosomal RNA". The record is from RNAcentral.